UGAGUAACACGUGGGAAACCUGCCCAGAAGCGGGGGAUAACACCUGGAAACAGAUGCUAAUACCGCAUAACAACUUGGACCGCAUGGUCCGAGCUUGAAAGAUGGCUUCGGCUAUCACUUUUGGAUGGUCCCGCGGCGUAUUAGCUAGAUGGUGGGGUAACGGCUCACCAUGGCAAUGAUACGUAGCCGACCUGAGAGGGUAAUCGGCCACAUUGGGACUGAGACACGGCCCAAACUCCUACGGGAGGCAGCAGUAGGGAAUCUUCCACAAUGGACGAAAGUCUGAUGGAGCAACGCCGCGUGAGUGAAGAAGGGUUUCGGCUCGUAAAACUCUGUUGUUAAAGAAGAACAUAUCUGAGAGUAACUGUUCAGGUAUUGACGGUAUUUAACCAGAAAGCCACGGCUAACUACGUGCCAGCAGCCGCGGUAAUACGUAGGUGGCAAGCGUUGUCCGGAUUUAUUGGGCGUAAAGCGAGCGCAGGCGGUUUUUUAAGUCUGAUGUGAAAGCCUUCGGCUCAACCGAAGAAGUGCAUCGGAAACUGGGAAACUUGAGUGCAGAAGAGGACAGUGGAACUCCAUGUGUAGCGGUGAAAUGCGUAGAUAUAUGGAAGAACACCAGUGGCGAAGGCGGCUGUCUGGUCUGUAACUGACGCUGAGGCUCGAAAGUAUGGGUAGCAAACAGGAUUAGAUACCCUGGUAGUCCAUACCGUAAACGAUGAAUGCUAAGUGUUGGAGGGUUUCCGCCCUUCAGUGCUGCAGCUAACGCAUUAAGCAUUCCGCCUGGGGAGUACGGCCGCAAGGCUGAAACUCAAAGGAAUUGACGGGGGCCCGCACAAGCGGUGGAGCAUGUGGUUUAAUUCGAAGCUACGCGAAGAACCUUACCAGGUCUUGACAUACUAUGCAAAUCUAAGAGAUUAGACGUUCCCUUCGGGGACAUGGAUACAGGUGGUGCAUGGUUGUCGUCAGCUCGUGUCGUGAGAUGUUGGGUUAAGUCCCGCAACGAGCGCAACCCUUAUUAUCAGUUGCCAGCAUUAAGUUGGGCACUCUGGUGAGACUGCCGGUGACAAACCGGAGGAAGGUGGGGAUGACGUCAAAUCAUCAUGCCCCUUAUGACCUGGGCUACACACGUGCUACAAUGGAUGGUACAACGAGUUGCGAACUCGCGAGAGUAAGCUAAUCUCUUAAAGCCAUUCUCAGUUCGGAUUGUAGGCUGCAACUCGCCUACAUGAAGUCGGAAUCGCUAGUAAUCGCGGAUCAGCAUGCCGCGGUGAAUACGUUCCCGGGCCUUGUACACACCGCCCGUCACACCAUGAGAGUUUGUAACACCCAAAGUCGGUGGGGU
Molecule: ribosomal RNA, 1342 nt
Filed under: Lactiplantibacillus plantarum
Lineage: Bacteria; Bacillati; Bacillota; Bacilli; Lactobacillales; Lactobacillaceae
Description: bacterial SSU rRNA
Rfam family: Bacterial small subunit ribosomal RNA
Source: RNAcentral